GCGGGGGCUCAGUGGUAGCGCACUUGCCUGGCAUGUGUGAGGCACUGAGUUCGAUUCUUAGCACUGCA
RNAcentral lists this transfer RNA (68 nucleotides) under Marmota monax (woodchuck). RNAcentral describes it as "tRNA.Ala". Lineage: Eukaryota; Metazoa; Chordata; Mammalia; Rodentia; Sciuridae. The record is from RNAcentral.